ACUUACUAGCUUUCAAGUAAGGUAACAUCUCAGACCAUCACAGGUUUUGACAGGGGAAACUCUGAAGGACCACAGGAGUUGGAGGUUCCACGUAUCUCUAAGUAGUAACAUACGAUGGGUCCAAAACAGAAGAAAGAGAACUCAAGAUUCCCGAGCCACAGAGCUGUUGAUUGGAGGCUGACUCAGAGAAACCCUGGAUUCAGUGACAUACAGAGACAACAAGUGGGUGCACCAGCCCCUUUCCUUGACAGGCUCCCAGCAUUUUGUCUGUAGGUUUGCAACUUCCCAGGCAACAAAUUAAUAGAAAAAAAAAAAUCUUCCAUCUGAGGAAAUUAACAAGCCAAAGUAAAAAGACCUGGAAAUACUAAUAAGCAGUACUUCUCUGAAAUUCCCAGUUUUCAUCCUAGUAUGAGGCCCAUAGAGAACUUCCAACCAGCCAGGAGUGCUUCAUAUCUACUUAUUCAUGAGAGGCCAGUAGGGAAAUGCUCUAUCAUGAAUGAUGUACUCCAAAACAAACAGAAGCAAUGUAAGACCAGAAGAAAACUUCCAGAAACUAUGGUUAAGAUCCUCCAAAAGAAAAAAAAAAGUUACUGGUUCAUUGAAAUAACAGGAGGAUGCUGUAAAAAAGAAACAUCCUAAGUAUUAGAAAGAUCCUUCAGAAAUUUAAAAAAAAAAUCAGUAGUUGGAAGGUAAAUUUGAAGGGAUUUCCCAAAAACCAGCAUAAAACCAAACAGAGAAGUCUUAUAAAAGAGAAAAGUAAUAAAAGAAUUAUCAAAGAAAUAAUACCAAACAAUCUCAAUAAUCAAAUGACUUUACAUAUAGUUAAGACUUGCCUAGUCCAUGGCAUAGGAAAAGAAAAUCAGAAAUACUACCAUUUGAAAUUCCAGAAUAAAAGGGGGAAGACCUUUCUGGUUGUGGCUGAGGAUAAAGGGGGUUGGGGCAAGAAGCAGCUCACAAUCAGACUGACCUAAGGAAAGAUGGCCCAGAACUCACCCACAAGCAGUGGAUCAAUGUUUGCACAACUCUCAGGGGAAAUUAUUUUCUACCCAUUCACAAAGUUAUCUUCCAUGCAACAUUCCUCAGAAGAUUCCUGGAGAAUAUUCUCCACCAAAGGACUUAAUCGCCUUCUGGACAAACAUAAUCUAUGCGACCUCCUCCCCAAAAGGUACAGGAUCAGUAUGGGUUUUAAUUGAGGGGCUCGGCACCAAAUGACAGACUUGACACAUCCACCCCCACCAUGGAUGCUGUCCGUCCGCUGUUGCACAACAUCCUUCAGUGUCUAAUUUACAGAUCCAGCUGUAUUUCCCCUUCCACCUGCAUCCCUGAAGUUCCUCCCACCUGAAAACUUCACCUGACCCAAGAAAGGAAAGGAAAAAACCCGGAGAGCCAGCUCAUGGUCUGGUUCACUGUUUAACAGCCAGAAGCCAGAGCCUGCAUACCAGAAGUGGAUGCCCAGGAAGUACUUGUGAGCUGACUAAGAAUGUAAGAACACCACCCACUUCAUUCAGGAAAGUGAGGCAGGAUUCCAUGCAGUGUGAAUGACUGCACAUGGAACAAGCAGGUUAUCAUUUAUAUUCAGUAAGGGACCUCCAUGGACAGGACAUUUGGGGAGCUGCUAUCAAACAUCAGAACUUCUGACACUGUGCACACAGUCUUAUAUUGUGCCUUGUCUGUUGUGAUGUCUCACUACAGUAAUGAUUAAGAUGAUGAGCACUUA
Molecule: long non-coding RNA, 1717 nt
Organism: Gorilla gorilla gorilla (western lowland gorilla)
Lineage: Eukaryota; Metazoa; Chordata; Mammalia; Primates; Hominidae
Exons: 4
Source: RefSeq, a predicted model, not a curated record